RNAcentral lists this unclassified non-coding RNA (391 nucleotides) under uncultured fungus. Its description in RNAcentral is "partial contains 5.8S ribosomal RNA and internal transcribed spacer 2". The stretch from base 1 to 133 matches the Rfam family "5.8S ribosomal RNA", at positions 22 to 154 of the family's 154-position model. Lineage: Eukaryota; Fungi. The record is from RNAcentral.
UGGUUCCCGCAUCGAUGAAGAACGCAGCGAAAUGCGAUACGUAAUGUGAAUUGCAGAACUCAGUGAAUCAUCGAAUCUUUGAACGCACCUUGCGCCCUUUGGUAUUCCGAUGGGCAUGUCUGUUUGAGUGUCGUGAAACUCUCAACCCCCCUAUUUUGUAAUGAAGUAGGAGCUUGGGCUUGGAUGUGACCGCUGCCGGAUCUUCAAUGAUCCGACUCGGUUGAAAUACACGAGCGUAUCCAGCUUUCUGAAAGGCAACGGCUUGACUCGGCGUGAUAAUUACUAUUCGCUGAGGACGUUGCAUCUCGAAUUUCAGAACCGUGAUGGCUACUAAUGCGGCCUCCGUGCCACUUAAGCUUUAGACCUCAAAUCAGAUAGGAUUACCCGCUGA